Molecule: ribosomal RNA, 903 nt
Filed under: Parastagonospora nodorum
Lineage: Eukaryota; Fungi; Ascomycota; Dothideomycetes; Pleosporales; Phaeosphaeriaceae
Description: eukaryotic LSU rRNA
Rfam family: Eukaryotic large subunit ribosomal RNA
Source: RNAcentral
UAGCAUAUCAAUAAGCGGAGGAAAAGAAACCAACAGGGAUUGCCCUAGUAACGGCGAGUGAAGCGGCAACAGCUCAAAUUUGAAAUCUGGCUCUUUUAGAGUCCGAGUUGUAAUUUGCAGAGGGCGCUUUGGCGUUGGCAGCGGUCCAAGUUCUUUGGAACAGGACGUCACAGAGGGUGAGAAUCCCGUACGUGGUCGCUAGCCUUCGCCGUGUAAAGCCCCUUCGACGAGUCGAGUUGUUUGGGAAUGCAGCUCUAAAUGGGAGGUAAAUUUCUUCUAAAGCUAAAUACUGGCCAGAGACCGAUAGCGCACAAGUAGAGUGAUCGAAAGAUGAAAAGCACUUUGGAAAGAGAGUCAAAUAGCACGUGAAAUUGUUGAAAGGGAAGCGCUUGCAGCCAGACUUGCCUGUAGUUGCUUAUCCGGACUUUUGUCCGGUGCACUCUUCUGCGGGCAGGCCAGCAUCAGUUUAGGCGGUUGGAUAAAGGUCUCUAUCACGUACCUCCCUUCGGGGUUGGCCUUAUAGGGGAGACGACAUGCAACCAGCCUGAACUGAGGUCCGCGCAUCUGCUAGGAUGCUGGCGUAAUGGCUGUAAGCGGCCCGUCUUGAAACACGGACCAAGGAGUCUAACAUCUAUGCGAGUGUUUGGGUGUCAAGCCCAGACGCGUAAUGAAAGUGAACGGAGGUGGGAACCUUUUAGGUGCACCAUCGACCGAUCCUGAUGUCUUCGGAUGGAUUUGAGUAAGAGCAUGGCUGUUGGGACCCGAAAGAUGGUGAACUAUGCUUGAAUAGGGUGAAGCCAGAGGAAACUCUGGUGGAGGCUCGCAGCGGUUCUGACGUGCAAAUCGAUCGUCAAAUUUGGGCAUAGGGGCGAAAGACUAAUCGAACUAUCUUGUACCUGGUCC